This 344-nucleotide RNase P RNA is filed under the name Acholeplasma sp. RNAcentral's name for it is "RNase P RNA component class B". It matches the Rfam family "Bacterial RNase P class B". Rfam says of the family: Ribonuclease P (RNase P) is a ubiquitous endoribonuclease, found in archaea, bacteria and eukarya as well as chloroplasts and mitochondria. Its best characterised activity is the generation of mature 5'-ends of tRNAs by cleaving the 5'-leader elements of precursor-tRNAs. Cellular RNase Ps are ribonucleoproteins. Lineage: Bacteria; Bacillati; Mycoplasmatota; Mollicutes; Acholeplasmatales; Acholeplasmataceae. The record is from RNAcentral.
AUUGGAAGGUGACUGAGCAAGUUCUCAUACUUGUUAGGAAAGUCCAUGCUAGCACUCACCUUUGAAGGUGAGUAGUGUUUGUGCCAAAGGAAACAAUAACUUUGGGUAUGGUAACAUAACGGCGAAGUUAAUUAUCUAAAGGGAAACCUAUGAUAAUACUUCUGAAAGUGCCACAGAGACGAGUCUUUUAGAAAUAAAAGAUGUGAAACGCGGUAAACCCCACAAGCUAGCAACCCAAAUUAUGGUAGGGGCACGAGAAAGGUAGUAAUAUCUUUCUUGCAGGUUUAUACCUGAGAUUAAUAGUCACAAGAAGAGAAAUCUUCUACAGAACAUGGCUUAUGCAC